UAAAUACUCCCUUCGUCCCAUAUUAAGUGACUCGAAUUUGACCAAAUAUGGAUGUAUCUAUACAUGAAAAUCGUCUAGAUACAUGUAAUAUUUCGUCACUUGAUAUGGGACGGAGGGAGUAUAAG
This is a non-coding RNA of Brachypodium distachyon (stiff brome), 125 nucleotides long. The record is from Rfam. Lineage: Eukaryota; Viridiplantae; Streptophyta; Magnoliopsida; Poales; Poaceae.